CUGGGUAAGCUGUUAAAGCUUCUGAACACACAAAACAGACAUUUGGCUCUAGUCCUACAUGUUGGGUAAAUACCACUUAUUGUUGUGUUUUCUACCCCUGAGUUUAUGGCUUCUCUGACUAUAGGUGAAGCAGAUUUAGUAGGUUUUUCAGAAUUGCUUUGCCAUUUUAGGUAUUAUCUAGACAACCUGAUAAUGAAAAGCAAAGUAUUAAGAUAACAGGCAUUUUUACCACCCACUUUCCAACAAUUGCUAACAUAAAGGAUUAAAAAAAGAUCAAUCCCAUCUCUGAUCUUGCAGAAUAAAUUUCAUCCCAAUUCACAUCUAUUGACCCACCAAGUAGUAUUCUUCAAGAUGUUUCUGAAUUGUACAUUGCGUUUUGGAUCAUGGGUAUGGAAGAAACAUCUUAGACUGCUUCUCUAUCUUGAAAAGAAAGUUAUAAAGAUUUGACUAUCUCCAUGGUGUUCCAGAGAAGGAGUAGACUCAUGCAGGAUUGUGUCCCUACUAAACUGAUCCCUAUCUCUUUCACAACCACCCAGCACCAAACCAGCUGUCAGUUUACCAGGGAUUGUUGUGUGCAAAGGCUAGAUGUACAACAAUGUGAAUAUGGUCGCUUUCAGCUCUACCUCCCACGACAUGGACGAUGGUCCACCACCAUUUCUGAAGCUGGGAGAGACGCUCUGAAGCAGUGUAUGAAGCCGGGUUUGCUCUGACAGAUGUUGGCUCUCCCACCAAGCGUGGGCCAUAGCCAUUAAAAGAUUCCACAACUUCCACUAGGUUCCCAUCUGUAAAACAGAGUAGUAAUAAAAGCUAUUCCAGAAAUUUGUGGCA
RNAcentral lists this long non-coding RNA (828 nucleotides) under Oryctolagus cuniculus (rabbit). RNAcentral's name for it is "lncRNA (ENSOCUG00000031679.1)". The record is from RNAcentral. Lineage: Eukaryota; Metazoa; Chordata; Mammalia; Lagomorpha; Leporidae.